GGCGGAUGUAGCCAAGUGGAUAAAGGCAGU
This 30-nucleotide transfer RNA is filed under the name Passiflora caerulea. RNAcentral's name for it is "partial tRNA-His". Lineage: Eukaryota; Viridiplantae; Streptophyta; Magnoliopsida; Malpighiales; Passifloraceae. RNAcentral also lists the same sequence under 7 other names. The record is from RNAcentral.